RNAcentral lists this ribosomal RNA (450 nucleotides) under uncultured Alphaproteobacteria bacterium. Its description in RNAcentral is "bacterial SSU rRNA". It matches the Rfam family "Bacterial small subunit ribosomal RNA", at positions 45 to 543 of the family's 1533-position model. The record is from RNAcentral. Lineage: Bacteria; Pseudomonadati; Pseudomonadota; Alphaproteobacteria.
GGCCUAACACAUGCAAGUCGAACGCCCCGCAAGGGGAGUGGCAGACGGGUGAGUAACGCGUGGGAAUCUACCCAGAUCUUCGGAACAACUGAGGGAAACUUCAGCUAAUACCGGAUACGCCCUACGGGGGAAAGAUUUAUCGGAUCUGGAUGAGCCCGCGUUGGAUUAGCUAGUUGGUGAGGUAAUGGCUCACCAAGGCGACGAUCCAUAGCUGGUCUGAGAGGAUGAUCAGCCACACUGGGACUGAGACACGGCCCAGACUCCUACGGGAGGCAGCAGUGGGGAAUAUUGGACAAUGGGCGAAAGCCUGAUCCAGCCAUGCCGCGUGAGUGAUGAAGGCCUUAGGGUUGUAAAGCUCUUUCAGUAGGGAAGAUAAUGACGGUACCUACAGAAGAAGCCCCGGCUAACUUCGUGCCAGCAGCCGCGGUAAUACGAAGGGGGCUAGCGUUG